AUACGUAGGUGGCGAGCGUUGUCCGGAAUUACUGGGUGUAAAGGGCGUGUAGGCGGGGAGACAAGUCAGAUGUGAAAGCCCAGAGCUCAACUCUGGGACUGCAUCUGAAACUGUUUUUCUUGAGUGCUGGAGAGGAAAGCGGAAUUCCUAGUGUAGCGGUGAAAUGCGUAGAUAUUAGGAGGAACACCAGUGGCGAAGGCGGCUGUCUGGACAGUAACUGACGCUGAGGCGCGAAAGCGUGGGGAGCAAACAGGAUUAGAUACCCUGGUAGUCCAGGCUGUAAACGAUGGAUACUAGGUGUAGGAGGUAUCGACCCCUUCUGUGCCGGAGUUAACACAAUAAGUAUCCCACCUGGGGAGUACGGCCGCAAGGUUGA
RNAcentral lists this ribosomal RNA (376 nucleotides) under uncultured bacterium. Its description in RNAcentral is "bacterial SSU rRNA". It matches the Rfam family "Bacterial small subunit ribosomal RNA", at positions 523 to 897 of the family's 1533-position model. The record is from RNAcentral.